This 1123-nucleotide ribosomal RNA is filed under the name uncultured bacterium. RNAcentral describes it as "bacterial SSU rRNA". It matches the Rfam family "Bacterial small subunit ribosomal RNA", at positions 9 to 1104 of the family's 1533-position model. The record is from RNAcentral.
GAGUUUGAUCCUGGCUCAGAAUCAACGCUGGCGGCNGCNCUCAGACAUGCAAGUCGAACGCGAAAGUUCCCUUCGGGGAGCGAGUAGAGUGGCGCUCGGGUGAGUAACACGUAGGUAAUCUACCUUUGGGUGGGGAAUAACAGCCGGAAACGGCUGCUAAUACCGCAUAAUGCAGCGGCUCGACAUCGAGACAGUUGUUAAAGCGGGGGAUUCCGCAGGGAACCUCGCGCCUAAAGAGGAGCCUGCGGCAGAUUAGCUAGUUGGUAAGGUAAUGGCUUACCAAGGCUUCGAUCUGUAGCCGGCCUGAGAGGGCGGUCGGCCACACUGACACUUAAAUACGGGUCAGACUCCUACGGGAGGCAGCAGUCGGGAAUUUUGGGCAAUGGGCGAAAGCCUGACCCAGCAACGCCGCGUGAAGGAUGAAAUCCCUCGGGAUGUAAACUUCGUAAGAACAGGAAGAAUAAGUGGGGGACAACACCCCCCAUGAUGACGGUACCGUUUGUAAGCUCCGGCUAACUCCGUGCCAGCAGCCGCGGUAAUACGGGGGGAGCAAGCGUUGUUCGGAUUUACUGGGCGUAAAGGGCGCGUAGGCGGUCAGCGCAAGUCAGUUGUGAAAUCUCUGGGCUUAACUCAGAACGGUCAACUGAUACUGCGCGACUAGAGUGCAGAAGGGGCAACUGGAAUUCUCGGUGUAGCGGUGAAAUGCGUAGAUAUCGAGAGGAACACCUGCGGCGAAGGUGGGUUGCUGGGCUGACACUGACGCUGAGGCGCGAAAGCUAGGGGAGCGAACGGGAUUAGAUACCCCGGUAGUCCUAGCCUUAAACGAUGAAUGCUUGGUGUCUCGGGUUAUAAAGUCCCGGGGUGCCGUCGCUAACGCAUUAAGCAUUCCGCCUGGGGAGUACGGUCGCAAGACUGAAACUCAAAGGAAUUGACGGGGACCCGCACAAGCGGUGGAGCAUGUGGUUUAAUUCGACGCAACGCGAAGAACCUUACCCAGGCUUGACAUCGCGUGUAAAGCCAUGAAAGUGGCUCCUCCCUUCGGGGACACAAAGACAGGUGUUGCAUGGCUGUCGUCAGCUCGUGUCGUGAGAUGUUGGGUUAAGUCCCGCAACGAGCGCAACCC